This 497-nucleotide ribosomal RNA is filed under the name uncultured bacterium. RNAcentral's name for it is "partial 16S ribosomal RNA". It matches the Rfam family "Bacterial small subunit ribosomal RNA", at positions 28 to 507 of the family's 1533-position model. The record is from RNAcentral.
GACGAACGCUGGCGGCGUGCCUAAUACAUGCAAGUUGAGCGCUGAGGGUUGGUACUUGUACCAACUGGAUGAGCGGCGAACGGGUGAGUAACGCGUGGAGAAUCUGCCUUUGAGCGGGGGGCAACAUUUGGAAACGAAUGCUAAUACCGCAUAAAAACUUUAAACACAAGUUUUAAGUGUGAAAGAUGCACUUGCAUCAAUCAAAGAAGAUCCCGCGUUGUCUUAGCUAGUUGGUGAGGUAAAGGCUCACCCAGGCGAAGAUACAUAGCCGACCUGGGAGGGUGAUCGGCCCCCUUGGGACCUGGACCCGGCCCCAACUCCUUCCGGAGGCCGCAGUAGGGGAUCUUUGGCCAUGGGCGGAAGUCUUACCGGGGCACGCCGCCGUGGUUAAGAAGGGUCUCGGGUUCGUAAACCUCUUUUGUAGAGAAGAACGUUGGUUGUAGUUGAAAGCGCACCAAUUGACGGUACCUACCCAGAAAGCCACGGCUAACUACGUG